Molecule: transfer RNA, 75 nt
Filed under: Streptomyces sp. Root264
Lineage: Bacteria; Bacillati; Actinomycetota; Actinomycetes; Kitasatosporales; Streptomycetaceae
Also listed under: 5 other names
Description: tRNA-Cys
Rfam family: tRNA
About the family: Transfer RNA (tRNA) molecules are approximately 80 nucleotides in length. Their secondary structure includes four short double-helical elements and three loops (D, anti-codon, and T loops).
Source: RNAcentral
GACCGUGUGCCCGAGAGGCUCAGGGACUCGCCUGCAAAGCGAGUUACACGGGUUCGAAUCCCGUCGCGGUCUCCA